RNAcentral lists this ribosomal RNA (375 nucleotides) under uncultured bacterium. RNAcentral describes it as "bacterial SSU rRNA". It matches the Rfam family "Bacterial small subunit ribosomal RNA", at positions 29 to 405 of the family's 1533-position model. The record is from RNAcentral.
AUUGAACGCUGGCGGCAUGCUUUACACAUGCAAGUCGAACGGUAACAGGCCGCAAGGUGCUGACGAGUGGCGAACGGGUGAGUAAUGCAUCGGAACGUGCCCAGUCGUGGGGGAUAACGCAGCGAAAGCUGCGCUAAUACCGCAUACGAUCUAUGGAUGAAAGCGGGGGACCGUAAGGCCUCGCGCGAUUGGAGCGGCCGAUGUCAGAUUAGGUAGUUGGUGGGGUAAAGGACGUCACCAAGCCAACGAUCUGUAGCUGGUCUGAGAGGACGACCAGCCACACUGGGACUGAGACACGGCCCAGACUCCUACGGGAGGCAGCAGUGGGGAAUUUUGGACAAUGGGCGCAAGCCUGAUCCAGCAAUGCCGCGUGCA